This 292-nucleotide ribosomal RNA is filed under the name uncultured Planctomycetota bacterium. RNAcentral's name for it is "uncultured planctomycete partial 16S ribosomal RNA". The record is from RNAcentral. Lineage: Bacteria; Pseudomonadati; Planctomycetota.
GGACUACUGGGGUAUCUAAUCCCGUUUGCUCCCCUGGCUUUCGCGCCUCAGCGUCAGAAGAGGUCCAGCGCGCCGCUUUCGCCACCGGUGUUCCUUCCGAUAUCUACGCAUUUCACCGCUCCACCGGAAGUUCCGCACGCCCCUACCUCCCUCGAGACUCGCAGUAUCAAAGGCACUUCUCCGGUUGAGCCGGAGGAUUUCACCCCUGACUUUCGAGCCCGCCUACGCGCCCUUUAAGCCCAGUGAUUCCGAACAACGUUCGCACGGUUCGUCUUACCGCGGCGGCUGGCAC